This is a long non-coding RNA of Pyrus x bretschneideri (Chinese white pear), 904 nucleotides long. RefSeq lists it as uncharacterized. The transcript has 4 exons. The record is from RefSeq and is a predicted model, not a curated record. Lineage: Eukaryota; Viridiplantae; Streptophyta; Magnoliopsida; Rosales; Rosaceae.
AUUCUUCCUCUGUAUAAUCAAUUCUAUAGCUGUUUUUUUUCCUGAUCCAUAUUUGCAUUCUACAUGUUAUUUUUGUGACUGACUUAUCAAGUCACUAAGCAGCAAGCGGAUGUGCUGUUUUUUAUUUUAGUCAAAGGGAACAAACUAAUGGUCUAAGAGAUUGCCUAAAUGGAUCCUAGAAUAGUAAAAGGGUUGUGCUAUCCACACACCCCAUUUUACCUCACACACCCCUUGAUAAUUUUUAUCCGUUGAUCUUCUUCAAUUCAUCUGAUCCGACGGUCGAAAAUUAAAAAGGUGUGAGAAGUAAAAUGGGGUGUGUGGAUAUCACACCCCUAGUAAAAAAUGCAUAAAAGUUUGAAAUAAAUUGAGAUCCAAUAUUAUAAGUUGAUUAUCAGUACCAUACAUAAAACAGAGGUGCUCUUCUUGAUUCAAAGGUGAACCAUUUCAUGAAAUUAUGAUAUUCUGAACAAUGAAUUUGUGUUUUCUGGUAAACAAGAAGCUAAAGCGUAAUCAAAGGAUUUGUCGACCUAUUGUGGAAGGAAACAGUGCUUUUUGUUUUCUGGAACCAUUUGGAGAGUGCAUGACCUGAGGAUCUCAGACCCAAGGUAAAAGGGGAUGGACAGAAGUCCCAGGCAGCAAUCUCUUAGUGAUGAUCGUCGGGAAAAUAUCAUGGUCAUUUUGAGUUCGGAUUCAACCAGCAUGUGAUCUGUGCAACAUAUCCAUAUAUGGAUCAAUGCUAUGGACAUGGACCUCAAAUUUCAGGGCAUCUUCCAUCAUUUAUCCUACCUCACUAAGUAAUGUAUGAAGCUAUUACAUUUGCAAUCAUAUUAAUUCCUUGAAAACAAUAUUUAUAUUUCUCUGUAAACUACAAAUUUUGGAAUAUACUAUAGUUUCCUUGUUGGUA